CCUACGGGCGGCAGCAGUGGGGGAUAUUGCACAAUGGGGGAAACCCUGAUGCAGCGACGCCGCGUGUGGGAAGACGGUCUUCUGGAUUGUAAACCACUGUCCCCAGGGACGAAAAUGACGGUACCUGGGGAGGAAACUCCGGCUAACUACGUGCCAGCAGCCGCGGUAAUACGUAGGGAGCAAGCGUUGUCCGGAAUUACUGGGUGUAAGGGGAGCGUAGGCGGGGAUGCAAGUUGGGUGUCAAAACUACCGGCUAAACCGAUAGUCGCACUCAAAACUGCAACUCUUGAGUGAAGUAGAGGCAGGCGGAAUUCCUAGUGUAGCAGUGAAAUGCGUAGAUAUUAGGAGGAACACCAGUGGCGAAGGCGGCCUGCUGGGCUUGUACUGACGCUGAGGCUCGAAAGUGUGGGGAGCAAACAGGAUUAGAUACCCCGGUAGUC
RNAcentral lists this ribosomal RNA (440 nucleotides) under uncultured bacterium. RNAcentral describes it as "partial 16S ribosomal RNA". It matches the Rfam family "Bacterial small subunit ribosomal RNA", at positions 338 to 795 of the family's 1533-position model. The record is from RNAcentral.